RNAcentral lists this ribosomal RNA (497 nucleotides) under uncultured bacterium. Its description in RNAcentral is "partial 16S ribosomal RNA". It matches the Rfam family "Bacterial small subunit ribosomal RNA", at positions 28 to 507 of the family's 1533-position model. The record is from RNAcentral.
GAUGAACGCUGGCGGCGUGCCUAAUACAUGCAAGUCGAGCGAACGGACGGGAAGCUUGCUUUUCUGAUGUUAGCGGCGGACGAGUGAGUAACACGUGGAUAACCUACCUAUAAGACUGGGAUAACUUCGGGAAACCGGAGCUAAUACCGGAUAAUAUUUUGAACCGCAUGGUUCAAAAGUGAAAGACGGUCUUGCUGUUACUUAUAGAUGGAUCCGCGCUGCAUUAGCUAGUUGGUAAGGUAACGGCUUACCAAGGCAACGAUGCAUAGCCGACCUGAGAGGGUGAUCGGCCACACUGGAACUGAGACACGGUCCAGACUCCUACGGGAGGCAGCAGUAGGGAAUCUUCCGCAAUGGGCGAAAGCCUGACGGAGCAACGCCGCGUGAGUGAUGAAGGUCUUCGGAUCGUAAAACUCUGUUAUUAGGGAAGAACAUAUGUGUAAGUAACUGUGCACAUCUUGACGGUACCUAAUCAGAAAGCCACGGCUAACUACGUG